Molecule: ribosomal RNA, 363 nt
Filed under: uncultured Geobacter sp.
Lineage: Bacteria; Pseudomonadati; Thermodesulfobacteriota; Desulfuromonadia; Geobacterales; Geobacteraceae
Description: bacterial SSU rRNA
Rfam family: Bacterial small subunit ribosomal RNA
Source: RNAcentral
UUCGGGAGCCGUAAGACAGGUGCUGCAUGGCUGUCGUCAGCUCGUGUCGUGAGAUGUUGGGUUAAGUCCCGCAACGAGCGCAACCCCCUAUCCUCAGUUGCCAUCAUUAAGUUGGGCACUCUGUGGAGACUGCCGGUGUCAAACCGGAGGAAGGUGGGGAUGACGUCAAGUCCUCAUGGCCCUUAUGACCAGGGCUACACACGUGCUACAAUGGCCGGUACAAAGAGUUGCGAUACCGCGAGGUGGAGCUAAUCUCAUAAAGCCGGUCUCAGUUCGGAUUGGAGUCUGCAACUCGACUCCAUGAAGUUGGAAUCGCUAGUAAUCGCGGAUCAGCACGCCGCGGUGAAUACGUUCCCGGGCCUU